This 510-nucleotide ribosomal RNA is filed under the name uncultured bacterium. Its description in RNAcentral is "partial 16S ribosomal RNA". The record is from RNAcentral.
GGAGUUAGCCGGUGCUUCUUCUGCGAGUAACGUCACAGAUGUAAGGUAUUAACUUACACCCUUUCCUCCUCGCUGAAAGUGCUUUACAACCCGAAGGCCUUCUUCACACACGCGGCAUGGCUGCAUCAGGGUUUCCCCAUUGUGCAAUAUUCCCCACUGCUGCCUCCCGUAGGAGUCUGGGCCGUGUCUCAGUCCCAGUGUGGCUGAUCAUCCUCUCAGACCAGCUAGGGAUCGUCGCCUAGGUGAGCCUUUACCUCACCUACUAGCUAAUCCCACCUGGGCUUAUCCAUCAGCGCAAGGCCCGAAGGUCCCCUGCUUUCCCCCGUAGGGCGUAUGCGGUAUUAGCAGUCGUUUCCAACUGUUAUCCCCACAAAUGGGCAAAUUCCCAGGCAUUACUCACCCGUCCGCCGCUCGUCAUCUUCAAAAGCAAGCUUUUGAAAUGUUACCGCUCGACUUGCAUGUGUUAGGCCUGCCGCCAGCGUUCAAUCUGAGCCAUGAUCAAAACUCUGA